AUGAGAUUGAAGACAGAAGAUGACAAAUUCUGUCUAGUGCAGAUGUUGUGAUCCAGUCUUGAAUUAGGCCUCUGUUCGGAGUGGAUUCCCAAGAGAGCAUCACCUGGAUAGCUUAAUAGCAACACAGGGAGUAGCAUGCCACAACAAAUUACAUUGUUUUGCACAUUUUAAAAUGUGUUUGAGGGAGAAGCUAGUAAAAUAAAACCUACACCCAGGACAAACUUGUUGGGAGUGGAGAGAAGUUGAAAGUCUGGUGAUGGAAUUAAGUGGACUGCAGCCGUUCAUUCACUGCUCUUAGCAAAGGGUAUAUAUCACAGAUUAUAUGAUGGACUGAGGCCUCUCAGCCCAGCUGUGCAGCAUCCUCCUUCCUCUCUUUCACCCUCAUGUUGCGACUGUCCUUGGACUGGUCCAUCACCAAGAAUCACUUUGUAAUCUGAGCAACAGUAACAGCAAGGCUGAAUUGUCUUCUUUCUGUUCAGUGUUGACUUCCCUGGUCUCAAUAACCACCAAAUGUCUGAAACUGGCACACAGUUCAGAAAACUCUUAUUUUUUAUUUCUUAAUUGAUCUGACACUUAACAGCAUUUGUUUCAAAAGGUUAAAAUCUGUUCCUAUAACUAAUCGUAUCUUCUCUAAAGCCCGUUUUCUUUAGCGAAUAUCUGGUCUGGCCUCUGGCUGACUUUCUGUCUUCACAAAUUUCUCUAAAAUUCCCUAUCCUCCCACCUUUCAUUUCAGCAAGGGUCCCUAGGAAGACUCCUACAAAUCUAUCACUGAGAAUGGCAGCUGGGGAGAGCAGCCAUUUCCCACUCCUCCAGAAGCAAACUGUUAUGCCACAUUCUCUUAAAGUAUAUUCUCCUCCCAAGGCAAGCACAGAGCUCCCAUCAACACUAAUGCACACUCAGAGAAUGACAUAUUUGGUGCCAACUACAGAGGCUUCAACCAAGGUAGUCAAGAAAGGACUCCAAAGAAGCCAUACUGACCUUGCUGAGAAAUUCCACUCCUGGAAGAGCUGCAUGCAGCAUUGA
RNAcentral lists this long non-coding RNA (1023 nucleotides) under Anser brachyrhynchus (Pink-footed goose). Its description in RNAcentral is "lncRNA (ENSABRG00000001745.1)". The record is from RNAcentral. Lineage: Eukaryota; Metazoa; Chordata; Aves; Anseriformes; Anatidae.